CGGGGGGGGCAAGCGUUGUUCGGAAUUACUGGGCGUAAAGGGCGCGUAGGCGGCCUGCUAAGUCGGACGUGAAAUCCCUCGGCUCAACCGGGGAACUGCGUCCGAUACUGGUGGGCUCGAAUCCGGGAGAGGGAUGUGGAAUUCCAGGUGUAGCGGUGAAAUGCGUAGAUAUCUGGAGGAACACCGGUGGCGAAGGCGGCAUCCUGGACCGGUAUUGACGCUGAUGCGCGAAAGCCAGGGGAGCAAACGGGAUUAGAUACCCCGGUAGUCCUGGCCCUAAACGAUGAGUGCUUGGUGUGGCGGGUAUCGAUCCCUGCCGUGCCGAAGCUAACGUAUUAAGCACUCCGCCUGGGGAGUACGGUCGCAAGGCUG
This 372-nucleotide ribosomal RNA is filed under the name uncultured organism. Its description in RNAcentral is "bacterial SSU rRNA". It matches the Rfam family "Bacterial small subunit ribosomal RNA", at positions 526 to 896 of the family's 1533-position model. The record is from RNAcentral.